Molecule: ribosomal RNA, 253 nt
Filed under: uncultured bacterium
Lineage: Bacteria
Description: partial 16S ribosomal RNA
Rfam family: Bacterial small subunit ribosomal RNA
Source: RNAcentral
UACGUAGGGGGCAAGCGUUGUCCGGAUUUAUUGGGCGUAAAGAGCGUGUAGGCGGCCAGGUAGGUCUGCUGUGAAAACUGGAGGCUUAACCUCCAGACGUCGAUGGAAACCGUAUGGCUAGAGUCCGGAAGAGGAGAGUGGAAUUCCUGGUGUAGCGGUGAAAUGCGCAGAUAUCAGGAAGAACACCCGUGGCGAAGGCGGCUCUCUGGGCCACUACUGACGCUGAGAAGCGAAAGCGUGGGGAGCGAACAGG